This 651-nucleotide ribosomal RNA is filed under the name Triticum aestivum (bread wheat). Its description in RNAcentral is "partial small subunit ribosomal RNA". Lineage: Eukaryota; Viridiplantae; Streptophyta; Magnoliopsida; Poales; Poaceae. The record is from RNAcentral.
AUGUUAACUAUCUCCCAUACCUCUCAUGAGUUUAUGGAAGACUUGAAGGAGGCAGAUUUGUGUGUUGCACUUGCUGUAAAAGGAGAAGAGCACCUAACUGUUGAAAUUCCAGCAAAGGUACGUGGUUUAUUGGCAGAAUUUCAGAACAUACUUGGAGAGCCACAAGGUCUGCCACCGAUGAGAGGAAUUCAACAUAGAAUUGACUUAAUUCCGGGAGCAGGUCUUCCUAAUCUUCCACACUGUCGAAUGAGCCCAAAGGAGCAUGAUAUAUUGAAGGAGAAAGUGGAGGAAUUGCUACAAAAGGGGCACAUUCGAGAAAGUAUUAGCCCAUGUGCUGUGCCAGCCCUACUCGCGCCAAAGAAAGAUGGAUCUUGGCGCAUGUGUACGGACAGUAGAGCCAUUAACAAGAUCACCGUAAGGUAUAGAUUCCCGAUUCCCGGUCUAGAUGAUAUGUUGGAUCAGCUUAGUGGAGCAAGAGUGUUCAGAAAGCUAGAUUUAAGAAGCGGAUAUCAUCUAAUCCGUAUCAGACCCGGGGGUGAAUGGAAAACCGCCUUCAAGGCAAAGGAAGGGUUGUUUGAAUGGCUAGUCAUGCCAUUUGGACUCUCAAAUGCACCAAGUACCUUUAUGUGCUUAAUGAAUCAAGUCCUUUGA